RNAcentral lists this ribosomal RNA (271 nucleotides) under uncultured bacterium. RNAcentral's name for it is "partial 16S ribosomal RNA". It matches the Rfam family "Bacterial small subunit ribosomal RNA", at positions 524 to 794 of the family's 1533-position model. The record is from RNAcentral.
UACGGAGGGGGCUAGCGUUGUUCGGAAUUACUGGGCGUAAAGCGCACGUAGGCGGAUGGACAAGUCAGAGGUGAAAUCCCAGGGUUCAACCUUGGAACGGCCUUUGAAACUUUCCAUCUUGAGGUCGAGAGAGGUGAGUGGAACUCCGAGUGUAGAGGUGAAAUUCGUAGAUAUUCGGAGGAACACCAGUGGCGAAGGCGGCUCACUGGCUCGAUACUGACGCUGAGGUGCGAAAGCGUGGGGAGCAAACAGGAUUAGAAACCCCAGUAGU